UUCCGUUGAUCCUGCGGAAGAUUGCUGCUAUUAGAAUCCGGCUAAGGCAUGCAAGUCAGAGGGCUUUUCGGAGCCCAGGCAAACUGCUCAGUAACACGUCAAUAAUCUAACCUUAAGUCUAGGAUAACCUCGGAAAACUGAGGGUAAAACUGGAUAGAUGAGGAAAUUUGGAAUAAUUCUUCAUCCAAAAGCAAUGCUUAAGGAUGAGUUGGCGGCUGAUUAGGUUGUGGUGAGGUAACGGCUCACCAAGCCGACGAUCAGUAGGGGCCCUGAGAGGGGUUGCCCCGAGAAGGACACUGAGACACUGGUCCUAGCCCUACGGGGUGCAGCAGCUGCGUAAACUCUACAAUGCGUGAAAACGUGAUAGGGGGAUUCUAAGUGCUUAUGCCUUUGGUAUAAGCUUUUGUCAUAUGUAAAAAGUAUGAUGAAUAAGUGGUGGGUAAGACGGGUGCCAGCCGCCGCGGUAACACCUGCGCCACAAGUGGCAAUCAUGUCUAUUGGGCCUAAAGCGUUCGUAGCCGGUUUAGUAAGUUCUAAGUGAAAUUAUUCUGCUCAACAGAAUAGCGUGCUCGGAAUACUGCUAAACUAGGGACCGGGAGACGUUAGAGGUAUGGAAAGGGAAGCGGUAAAAUGUGAUAAUCCUUUCUAGACCACCAAUGGCGAAGGCAUCUAACGAGAACGGGUCCGACGGUGAGGGACGAAAGCCAGGGUAGCAAAAGGGAUAGAUACCCCUGUAGUCCUGGCUGUAAACGCUGUGAGCUAGGUGUUGUAUAUUCCACGCGAAUAUACAGCGCCGUAGAGAAGUCGUUAAGCUCACCGCCUGGGAAGUACGGUCGCAAGGCUGAAACUUAAAGGAAUUGGCGGGGGAGUACCACAAGGGGUGCGGCGUGCGGUUUAAUUUAACUCAACGCAGAGAAUCUCACCAGGGGCGACGGCAGGAUGAUAGUCAACCUAAAGGGUUUACUGGACGAGCCGAGAGGUGGUGCAUGGCUGUCGUCAGCUCGUACCGUGAGGUGUCCAGUUAAGUCUGGCAACGAGCGAGACCCACACCUUUAAUUGUCAGCGAGUUCUUUAGAAUGAUCGGACACAUUAGAGGAACUGCCUUGGAAACAAGGAGGAAGGUGUGGGCGACGGUAAGUCUGUACGCCCCGAACCUCCUGGGCUACACGCGCGCAACAAUGGUAGGAACAAUGGGAUGCGACACCGAAAGGUGAAGCUAAUCCUCGAAAUCCUAUCUUAGUCUAGAUCGAGUUUUGUAACUCAGACUCGUGACACCGGAAUCCCUAGUAAUCGGAAGUUAUCAUCUUCCGGUGAAUGUGUCCCUGCUCCUUGCACACACCGCCCGUCAUUCCAACCGAGCAGAGUUAAAGUGAGGCUAUGUUUUUAAUGUAUUCGAACUUUAGCUCAGUGAGGCGGGACAAGUCGUCACAAGGUA
RNAcentral lists this ribosomal RNA (1435 nucleotides) under metagenome. Its description in RNAcentral is "bacterial SSU rRNA". It matches the Rfam family "Archaeal small subunit ribosomal RNA". The record is from RNAcentral.